This 391-nucleotide ribosomal RNA is filed under the name Chrysophyceae sp. RNAcentral describes it as "partial small subunit ribosomal RNA". It matches the Rfam family "Eukaryotic small subunit ribosomal RNA", at positions 582 to 975 of the family's 1831-position model. Lineage: Eukaryota; Chrysophyceae. The record is from RNAcentral.
AUUCCAGCUCCAAUAGCGUAUACUAAAGUUGUUGCAGUUAAAAAGCUCGUAGUUGAAUUUCUGGUCGUGGCAAUCGGUCAGCCCCUCACGGGGUUCGUACCAGGUUGCUGCGUCCAUCCUCGGGGAGAGCACAUCGGGCAUUCAGUUGUCUGGUGUGGGAUCCUCGUCAUUUACUGUGAGCAAAAUAGAGUGUUCAAAGCAGGCUUAGGCCGUUGAAUACAUUAGCAUGGAAUAAUAAGAUAGGACCUUGGUCUAUUUUGUUGGUUUGCAUUCCAAGGUAAUGAUUAAUAGGGAUAGUUGGGGGUAUUCGUAUUCAAUUGUCAGAGGUGAAAUUCUUGGAUUUAUGGAAGACGAACUACUGCGAAAGCAUUUACCAAGGAUGUUUUCAUCG